GAGUGGCUGCAGCUGGAGUGAGCGAGCGCGACGAGCCACCGGAAACGGAGCUGCAGCCGCGCCCCGCCCCCAGCUCCCCGCACGCUGCCCCUCCCGCUCGUAUGUCCCGCGGGCGGCCCCGCUCGCUGGCUGCACGCGUCACUUCCGGCUGUGUUGGGGCGCGAAAAAAGUUCUUGGGUUGGAACGUUGGUACUGGUCUGUGGCGGUGUUUGUCGACUGUCCUCUGCUAGGAAAUCUCGGCACUGACUGUCCCACUGCUGAUGCUAUAAAAGAGGUCCUUCUGCUAUGAUGCAACUGUGGUUGCUCUGCUUCUGGGGACUUAUGCUCCGCGUGCGGAUUUUCAUAGUUCCAUGUGGCUCCGAGCCGAGGGAGCCGCGGCGUGGAAAGGAGGGAACCGGUGAUCUCAGUGCUGAAGAAAACAGGGAGUGUGUGUCUUCAUGCUUGAUUUCCCUUGCCGCAGGGGCUUAAAAUGAGAUGUCUGGGCGUGAGAAGUCGUUCUUGAUGAAAUGUGGCCUCUGUGAGUGUGGUCUCGCUGUUAGACUAGGAAGAUGCUAUUUUGCUGUGCCCAGUUCCUCUUAAAAGUACAGAUGCUCCUUGGGUUGCGAUUUCGUUUUAAUACCCUUAUAAACGAAAAGGAUAAGCCUUUGGGUUCUGUAAUGUGAGCCAGCAUUCUUUGAGUACUUAAGUGUCAGGAACCAAAGAGAAGUGAAGGAAUGUGUCCAAGGGCUCCCAAGUUGGCGGUGGAAUUAGAAUUGAAGCCUCAGCUCCAGAGCCUGUGUUCUCAACGACCUGGUUGCAGCUCACAAAAUACACUUUGGCAGUACUUUCAUAACGAAAACAAAUGAUUACAUCUAGUUUACAAAUGCUUUACUUUACUGGAGGAUCGACAUGUUUGACUAAUUUUUAAAAAUAAAUGUCGGAAACAGCA
Rhinopithecus roxellana (golden snub-nosed monkey) is the source of this 928-nucleotide long non-coding RNA. RefSeq lists it as uncharacterized. The transcript has 2 exons. Lineage: Eukaryota; Metazoa; Chordata; Mammalia; Primates; Cercopithecidae. The record is from RefSeq and is a predicted model, not a curated record.